This 64-nucleotide transfer RNA is filed under the name Curculionidae sp. 2 AH-2016. RNAcentral's name for it is "tRNA-Leu". The record is from RNAcentral. Lineage: Eukaryota; Metazoa; Arthropoda; Insecta; Coleoptera; Curculionidae.
GUUAUUUUGGCAGAUUAGUGCGGUAGAUUUAGAGUCUAUUUAUGUAAAUUGUAUACAAAUAAUA